RNAcentral lists this unclassified non-coding RNA (316 nucleotides) under Hevea brasiliensis (rubber tree). The record is from RNAcentral. Lineage: Eukaryota; Viridiplantae; Streptophyta; Magnoliopsida; Malpighiales; Euphorbiaceae.
GCCAGGUUUCAAAAUAAAUGCUUUGACCUUGAUAUAUGUAACAAACGGCGACUUGACAUGCUUUCCGUUAUUCAACUCAGUCAUCAACGAGAGCAAGGAUAAUUUUGGGCAGUCUCUGAUAAUAAUUAAGUCCAAGAAACCAUCUGACAUCUUAGCAUCUGGUGCUGCCAAGGUGUUUUCAGCUCCCCAAGGUACAUUGUGAAGCCAGACUGAAAUAAAAGGUCCGUCAAAUUUUCUCCAAUUUAAAUCCUUCAAGUUGAUAUUAGGUCCUUCGUAGCCAUGCCGUUGAAUAUUAAUGGGCUCACCAUCAGUUUUG